CGUGUAGGCGGUUGCUUAAGUCUGAUGUGAAAGCCCUGGGCUCAACCCGGGAAGUGCAUUGGAAACUGGGCAACUUGAGUACGGGAGAGGGUAGUGGAAUUCCGAGUGUAGGGGUGAAAUCCGUAGAUAUUCGGAGGAACACCGGUAGCGAAGGCGGCUACCUGGACCGAUACUGACGCUGAGACGCGAAAGCGUGGGGAGCAAACA
Molecule: ribosomal RNA, 207 nt
Filed under: uncultured delta proteobacterium
Lineage: Bacteria; Deltaproteobacteria
Description: partial 16S ribosomal RNA
Rfam family: Bacterial small subunit ribosomal RNA
Source: RNAcentral